Molecule: unclassified non-coding RNA, 236 nt
Filed under: Melitaea cinxia (Glanville fritillary)
Lineage: Eukaryota; Metazoa; Arthropoda; Insecta; Lepidoptera; Nymphalidae
Description: misc RNA ENSMCXG00005013743.1
Source: RNAcentral
UCUCUGGGAUCCCAUCAUCAGAUCCUGGUUUCCUUAUCAUGGUACCAAACUAGGGAUAUCCUCUUUCCAAUAAAAAAAGAAUUAUCAAAAUCGGUACACCCGUAGAAAGUUAUGCGGUAUAAUACAACGUAGGUCGACGAAAAAAGCGUCAAGUAAAAACGCAUUAUUAGAUAUAACUCAAAAAGUAGUUAUUAGAUCUCAAAUAAAUUUAAAUGGGACCAAUUGGCACACACCAC